This 425-nucleotide ribosomal RNA is filed under the name uncultured bacterium. RNAcentral describes it as "partial 16S ribosomal RNA". It matches the Rfam family "Bacterial small subunit ribosomal RNA", at positions 354 to 796 of the family's 1533-position model. The record is from RNAcentral.
GUGGGGAAUAUUGCACAAUGGGGGAAACCCUGAUGCAGCGACGCCGCGUGAGUGAAGAAGUAUUUCGGUAUGUAAAGCUCUAUCAGCAGGGAAGAAAUUGACGGUACCUGACUAAGAAGCCCCGGCUAACUACGUGCCAGCAGCCGCGGUAAUACGUAGGGGGCAAGCGUUAUCCGGAUUUACUGGGUGUAAAGGGAGCGUAGACGGCAUGGCAAGUCAGAUGUGAAAACCCGGGGCUUAACCCCGGGAUUGCAUUUGAAACUGUCAGGCUGGAGUGCGGGAGAGGUAAGUGGAAUUCCUAGUGUAGCGGUGAAAUGCGUAGAUAUUAGGAGGAACACCAGUGGCGAAGGCGGCUUACUGGACCGUAACUGACGUUGAGGCUCGAAAGCGUGGGGAGCAAACAGGAUUAGAUACCCGAGUAGUCC